This 255-nucleotide ribosomal RNA is filed under the name uncultured bacterium. RNAcentral's name for it is "partial 16S ribosomal RNA". It matches the Rfam family "Bacterial small subunit ribosomal RNA", at positions 524 to 777 of the family's 1533-position model. The record is from RNAcentral.
UACGUAGGGUGCGAGCGUUGUCCGGAAUUAUUGGGCGUAAAGAGCUCGUAGGCGGCUUGUCGCGUCGGAUGUGAAAGCUCGGGGCUCAACUCCGAGUCGGCCGUGCGAACUGGGCUCACUGGAGCAUAGUAGAGGCAGGUGGAAUUCCGGGUGUAGCGGUGGAAUGCGUAGAGAUCCGGAAGAACACCGGUGGCGAAGGCGGCCUGCUGGGCUAUGGCUGACACUGAGGCGCGACAGCGUGGGGAGCAAACAGGG